This is a long non-coding RNA of Hevea brasiliensis (rubber tree), 651 nucleotides long. RefSeq lists it as uncharacterized. The transcript is spliced from 3 exons. The record is from RefSeq and is a predicted model, not a curated record. Lineage: Eukaryota; Viridiplantae; Streptophyta; Magnoliopsida; Malpighiales; Euphorbiaceae.
CGAUUCCGGUGGCGUUGGAAAGCUUGUUCUGAGAGCUUUCUUUUGAUACUAAUUUUGAAGCAAAUGGAGGUCGGAUGAGUGAGAUAUGGAGGAGAGAAGUUUCGGGUUUUUCAAGCUUUUUCGUCAGAUCUACGACGAUCCGACCGUUGGAUCGACGAUCCGAGACCACAUAUGGACUGAGGAAGAGGAGAGGAACAUGGUGGUAUGAUCAGACCCGGCAAAUGUCGCCGGCGACCAGCGGCCGGCCACCAUGCGUGGUGGUGCCGGCGGUGGCUCCGGUGAGCUAUGGAGAUGGUUCAACUUCCAGAGGCUUCCUCAUAAAUUUUUGAAAUUUUUGAGACACAGAUAAACUUCGGGUGAUCGAGGUCAGCUAUUUUCUGCAUCCAGCAGCCACAAUAGUCAUCGGUGUACUGCCACAGGAGGAUAUUUUAUUCUGGGUUAACCUGCUUUUCUACUUCGCAGGUUGUUUAUCAAUAUUUGUGUAAUUUUAUUUACUCCUAGAAUUUUCGCAUGUGUUAGAAGUAUUUAUUGAUUAUGGUCUGUAAUAUUAUUAUCAUGUUGGACCUGUAAACGUAUAAUGAUAUGCAUGUUUGAUGGAUUGGAUGAGGGAGCUGAGCUCCCAUUUAUUAUUAUGAGGAUAUGAGUAUGUGG